UACGUAGGGGGCAAGCGUUGUCCGGAUUCAUUGGGCGUAAAGAGCGUGUAGGCGGCCAGGCAGGUCGGUUGUGAAAACUGGAGGCUCAACCUUCAGAGGUCGACCGAAACCAUCUGGCUAGAGUCCGGGAGAGGAGGGUGGAAUUCCUGGUGUAGCGGUGAAAUGCGCAGAUAUCAGGAAGAACACCCGUGGCGAAAGCGGCUCUCUGGAACGGUACUGACGCUGAGACGCGAAAGCGUGGGGAGCGAACAGG
RNAcentral lists this ribosomal RNA (253 nucleotides) under uncultured bacterium. RNAcentral describes it as "partial 16S ribosomal RNA". It matches the Rfam family "Bacterial small subunit ribosomal RNA", at positions 524 to 776 of the family's 1533-position model. The record is from RNAcentral.